This 509-nucleotide ribosomal RNA is filed under the name uncultured Chloroflexota bacterium. RNAcentral describes it as "bacterial SSU rRNA". It matches the Rfam family "Bacterial small subunit ribosomal RNA", at positions 371 to 896 of the family's 1533-position model. The record is from RNAcentral. Lineage: Bacteria; Bacillati; Chloroflexota.
UAGGGCGAAAGCCUGAUGCAGCAACGCCGCGUGUGUGAUGAAGGCCUUCGGGUCGUAAAGCACUUUUCUGGGAGAUGAGAAAGGACAGUAUCCCAGGAAUAAGUCUCGGCUAACUACGUGCCAGCAGCCGCGGUAAAACGUAGGAGGCAAGCGUUAUCCGGAUUCACUGGGCGUAAAGCGCGUGCAGGUGGCGCGGUAAGUUGGGCGUGAAAUCUCCCGGCUCAACUGGAGAGGUCGUCCAAUACUACCGUGCUUGAGAGCAGAAGAGGAAGAUGGAAUUCCCGGUGUAGUGGUGAAAUGCGUAGAUAUCGGGAGGAACACCAGUGGCGAAGGCGAUCUUCUGGUCUGUUUCUGACACUCAGACGCGACAGCUAGGGUAGUAAACGGGAUUAGAGACCCCGGUAAUCCUAGCCGUAAACGAUGUGAACUUGGCGUUGGUGGGUUAAACUCCAUCAGUGCCGUAGCAAACGCGAUAAGUUCACCGCCUGGGGACUACGGCCGCAAGGUUA